RNAcentral lists this ribosomal RNA (247 nucleotides) under uncultured bacterium. RNAcentral describes it as "partial 16S ribosomal RNA". It matches the Rfam family "Bacterial small subunit ribosomal RNA", at positions 791 to 1035 of the family's 1533-position model. The record is from RNAcentral.
UAGUCCACGCCGUAAACGAUGGGCACUAGGCGCUUGGGGGAGCGACCCCUCGAGGGCCGGCGCUAACGCAUUAAGUGCCCCGCCUGGGGAGUACGGCCGCAAGGCUGAAACUCAAAGGAAUUGACGGGGGCCCGCACAAGCGGUGGAGCAUGUGGUUUAAUUCGACGCAACGCGAAGAACCUUACCUAGGCUUGACAUGCACGGGAAACCCCUGAGAAACCAGGGGCCCUCUUCGGAGCCCGUGCAC